GUCCAAUCAGAUAAUACAUAUCUUCUUCUUCUUUAUCUGUCAUUUAAGUAGGCUAGCUGUCAGAGUAAAAUCACGGACAACUUUUUAAAACGUGCAGCUCCCUCUUUAUCUACUGCUCCUUUCAAUGUCAACAACAAGGCAGACAACCCUGUUCCUGUCAAGAAGAGAAAAUACGACCCCCGACUUCAAAUAUGGUUUCACACUUGUAGAGGACAGGCAUGGUGAGUGUAGACUGCUGUGCGUCCUAUGCAACGAGCUGUUAGCUAAUGAGGGCAUGAAACCCUCCAAAAUGUAAAGGCAUCUGGACACCAAGCAUCCAAGCCACGAAGAUAAGACAGCUGACAUUUUUUUAAACAAGUAAAUAUCUGGAGGUGUCACAAGAUUCAUUGAAUAACGUAUGCAAGGUACAAGAAAAGGCACUUCGCGCAUCGUACCUUGUAGCCCAGCGCAUUGCUAAGUGCAAAAAACUCACGCCAGCACAGAGGAUCUCAUACUCCCUGCUGCAAAUGAUAUGUCUGUAGCGUGGUUCGUUCUGCGUUGUGUAUUUUUAUUUAGGACACUGCCACAACUGGAAUUCUGUUGGUAGAAUCAUUUUUAUUCGACCUGCACACGAAGAGACAACACACAAUAUGUUAACCCUCGGUGCAGUCACAGCUCUCGGGCACCUUGCUAGCUGAAGGUCCGGCAAAAGAGAACGAUAAAAGGGGGAACAACAUCACUCUACUACAUGUGCACUGAAAUCAUACCACUAUCCAAUGACACCAUGAGGAGGAGAAUCCAGGACAUGUCUGAGGACAACGCGGCAGACAUCAGAGCACAUCAGUGCAAAUGCCCAUUACGCACUGCAGCUUGAUGAAUCCACAUGUUCGGGUGGCUAACCAUGCAAUUCUAAUGGUCUAUGUCAGACACGUCUGGGAUAAUAACUCCGAGGAGCAGUUUCUUUUUAGUGCUGAUUUGCCCACCACCACCUCCACCACUGCAGAGGCUGUAUUUAACACAAUGGGUAUGUACCUGGGCUCCGUGGGUCUGGCCUGGGAUGGGUGCGUCGGUGACCACUGAUGGGGCAGCUGCCAUGAAGGGAAAGCACUCCGGAGUAGUAAAGUGGAUCCUGGAGAGAGCACCGAGUGCGACGUGGAACCACUGCUUUCUACACAGGGAGGCAUUGGCAGCGAAGGACAUGGUACCUGAACUCCACGCCACUCUAAAGGAUACGAUUAAGUGUGUCAACUAUAUCAAAAAGAGUUAAAAGAAAAAUAGGUGUUUCCAGGCCUUCUAGAGGGAUAUGGGGAGCGAACACCAGCAGGUGCUUUAUCAUGCAGACGUUCGCUGGCUUUCAAGGGGUAAAAUGUUGUGUCGCUUUUAUGAGCUUCGCGCGGAGAUUGCUGCGUUUCUUUCGGAAAACAAGUCACCUCUGGCUGAACAUGUCGAUUGUGAGGAAUGGCUCGCGAAGGUUGGCCACCUGGAGGAUUUUUUUAAUCAUCUCAAUUCGCUCAAUUGGUCAAAGAACAGGGACGGGAGCACAAUCGAUUUGAAGAGAGGGACAAAGUGGAUGCCUUCAAGAUGAAGCUCGUCGUUUGGGCAAAUCAUGUUUCUAACGGGAGGAUUGACAUGUUUCCAAAUGCUGAUUUCGAUAUUCAGAAUCUGAUCAACAAAGCGCACAGCGACACUGAAAAAAAACGUUAAACAGGAUCUUGUUAAUAAGCUGCAGGGAAGGUUUUGCGACUACUUCUCGGAGGAGAACAGGAGACAAGACGACUGGAUACCGGACCCCUUUCGAGAGGCGAUGUGAAGCGUCACUUUGUCAAGCAACGAAGAUGAUCAGCUGGUGGAGCUGUCAUUUGAUCGGGCGACUGAGCAUGCGCUUCCUGGAAAUGACACUGCCAAAGUUCUGGUGCAGCGUAGUGGGAGAGUAUCUUGCUCUCGCCUGUCAUCAGAAUCAUGCUACCGUUCAGGACUACCUAUCUGUGUGAAAGUGGCUUCUCUGCUAUGUCUGUGCUGAAAACUAAAAGCAGAAACAAACUGGACAGCCAGCAUGACCUCCGAGUUUCCCUGUCAACCAUCACCCCAGACUUUAAUAAACUUAUCAAACUGAAGAAACACCCCCAGUUUUCCCACUGAUAGGCCACAAACACGCACACACAAUAAAUAAAUAAACAGGUCAAUGAGUUAUAGUUCAGUAUGUUAAUUCAUUCUGACAUUCAUAUUACAUUUUAUUGAACUCUUUAAUAACUACACCUUUAAAAAAAACUUUUGAAGGAUGUGAAACUAUUCACAUGCUAAUUGAUGGUUACGAAAUCAUAAUCAUUGUUGUUGACAUAGAAUCUUGACUAGAACCCAAAAAUGUUAUCAUAUUACUCCAGUGCUAGCGUCUCUACACUGGCUUCCUGUUAAGGCAAGGGCUGAUUUCAAAGUUUUACUGCUAACCUACAAAGCAUUACAUGGGCUUGCUCCUACCUAUCUUUCCGAUGCCGUACAUACCUACACGUACGCUACGGUCACAAGACGCAAACCUCCUUACUGCAGGGCUUUCUCCUAUAGAGCUCAAUUUUUAUGGAAUGGUCUGCCUACCGAUGUGAGAGACGCAGAUUCGGUCUCAACCUCUUUAUUGAAGACUCAUCGCUUUAGUAGGUCCUAUGACUGAGUGUAGUCUGGCCCAGGAGUGUGAGGGUGAACGGAAAGGCACUGGAGCAACGAACCGCCCUUGCUGUCUCUGCUUGGCCGGUUCCCCUCUCUCCACUGGGAUUCUCUGCCUCUAACCCUAUUACAGGGGCUGAGUCACUGGCUUACUGGUGCUCUUCCAUGCUGUCCCUAGGAGGGGUGCGUCACUUGAGUGGGUUGAGUCACUGACGUGAUCUUCCUGUCUGGGUUGCCCCCCCCCCCCCCCUGGGUUGUGCCGUGGCAAAGAUCUUUGUGGGCUAUACUCGGCCAUGUCUCAGGAUGGUAAGUUGGUGGUUGAAGAUAUCCCUCUAGUGGUGUGGGGUCAUAUCCUACCUGUUUGGCCCUGUCCAGGGGUAUCGUCGGAUGGGGCCACAGUGUCUCCUGACCCCUCCUGUCUCAGCCUCCAGUAUUUAUGCUGCAGUAGUUUAUGUGUUGGGGGGCUAGGUCAGUCUGUUAUAUCUGGAGUAUUUCUCCUGUCUUAUCCGGUGUCCUGUGUGAAUUUAAGUAUGCCCUCUCUAAUUCUCUCUCUCUUUUUCUUUCUCGCUUUCUUUCUUUCUCUCUCUCUUGGAGAACCUGAGCCCUAGGACCAUGCCUCAGGACUACCUGGCCUGAUGACUCCUUGCUGUCCCCAGUCCACCUGGCCGUGCUGCUGCUCCAGUUUCAACUGUUCUGCCUGCGGCUAUGGAACCCUGACCUGUUCACCAGACGUGCUACCUGUCCCAGACCUGCUGUUUUCAACUCUCUAGAGACAGCAGGAGCAGUAAAGAUACUCUGAAUAAUCGGCUAUGAAAAGCCAACUGACAGUUACUCCUGAGGUGCUGACCUGUUGCACCCUCGACAACCACAUGUGAUUAUUAUUAUUUGACCCUGCUGGUCAUCUAUGAACAUUUGAACAUCUUGGCCAUGUUCUGUUAUAAUCUCCACCUGGCACAGCCAGAAGAGGACUGGCCACCCCUCAUAGCCUGGUUCCUCUCUAGGUUUCUUCCUAGGUUCUGGACUUUCUAGGGAGUUUUUCCUAGCCACCGUGCUUCUACACCUGCAUUGCUUGCUGUUCGGGGUUUUAGGCUGGGUUUCUGUACAGCACUUUGAGACAUCAGCUGAUGUAAGAAGGGCUUUAUAAAUACAUUUUAUUUGAUUUGUUUUCUUCUAUUUUAAACACUGGUAUGUGUUACUGUUCAUUAACAUUAUUGGACUGGUUUUGAUGCCAUGUUCUGAGUCUGAUCAUUUAUUACACAUACUCCUGAACUGGUUGCCUAAUUAAAUGGCUUAUUCUCUUGAAUUGAUAAUAAAUGUUUUCUCGGCUAAUAUGUCUGUGUAAUGACUUUCUUUAAUACCAUAAUAGUAGCCCAUUGAGACAGAGUCUAUUUUGCAAGUGAAGCCUGACCAAGACGGAAGCUGCAAUACAACAUUACAAAAUGUAAACAGUCCAUAAUAUUUGGUCGUGACUCAAUUGUCA
This 4114-nucleotide long non-coding RNA is filed under the name Salmo salar (Atlantic salmon). RNAcentral's name for it is "lncRNA (ENSSSAG00000106023.1)". Lineage: Eukaryota; Metazoa; Chordata; Actinopteri; Salmoniformes; Salmonidae. The record is from RNAcentral.